This 468-nucleotide ribosomal RNA is filed under the name uncultured bacterium. RNAcentral's name for it is "partial 16S ribosomal RNA". It matches the Rfam family "Bacterial small subunit ribosomal RNA", at positions 28 to 507 of the family's 1533-position model. The record is from RNAcentral.
GACGAACGCUGGCGGCGUGCUUAACACAUGCAAGUCGAACGGAAAGGCCCUGCUUUUGUGGGGUGCUCGAGUGGCGAACGGGUGAGUAACACGUGAGUAACAUGCCCUUGACUUUGGGAUAACUCUAGGAAACUGGGGCUAAUACCGGAUAGGAGCUCCUGCUGCAUGGUGGGGGUUGGUAAGUUUCGGUGGUUGGGGAUGGACUCGCGGCUUAUCGGCUUGUUGGUGGGGUAGUGGCUUACCAAGGCUUUGACGGGUAGCCGGCCUGAGAGGGUGACCGGCGACAUUGGGACUGAGAUACGGCCCAGACUCCUACGGGAGGCAGCAGUGGGGAAUAUUGCACAAUGGGCGGAAGCCUGAUGCAGCAACGCCGCGUGCGGGAUGACGGCCUUCGGGUUGUAAACCGCUUUCGCCGGUGACGAAGCGUGAUUGACGGUAAUGGGUAAAGAAGCACCGGCUAACUACGUG